Molecule: ribosomal RNA, 254 nt
Filed under: uncultured bacterium
Lineage: Bacteria
Description: partial 16S ribosomal RNA
Rfam family: Bacterial small subunit ribosomal RNA
Source: RNAcentral
CACGUAGGGUGCGAGCGUUGUCCGGAAUUAUUGGGCGUAAAGAGCUCGUAGGCGGUGUGUCGCGUCGGCCGUGAAAACCUGCAGCUUAACUGUGGGCUUGCGGUCGAUACGGGCAUCACUGGAGUUCGGCAGGGGAGACUGGAAUUCCUGGUGUAGCGGUGGAAUGCGCAGAUAUCAGGAGGAACACCGAUGGCGAAGGCAGUUCUCUGGGCCGUAACUGACGCUGAGGAGCGAAAGCGUGGGGAGCGAACAGG